This is an RNA transcript of Zea mays, 628 nucleotides long. It is a transcript of the gene named histone deacetylase pseudogene, with no coding region annotated. The transcript is spliced from 3 exons. NCBI's taxonomy places the organism in Eukaryota, Viridiplantae, Streptophyta, Magnoliopsida, Poales, Poaceae. The annotation marks the transcript as partial. The record is from RefSeq and is marked validated.
AGCACGGAGCGAACCGCACAGGCUAGCCCACACGGAGCGAACCACACGGGAAAAGUUGAUGGGAAGAAACAAAAAAGUCAAGAAAAGGCAGUUCCUGCAGCUUCAAAAUCAAGUCCGGCUUCCAAGAAGAGCAAGGAUGACGAUGAUUCUGAUGAGGACGAGACUGAUGAUUCUAACGAGGACGAGACAGACGAUUCUGAUGAGGGUGAGGGUUUGUCUCCUGAAGAAGGCGAUGAUGAUGAUUCAAGUGAUGAAGAUGAUACCAGUGACGAUGAGGAGGAAGACACUUCAACUCCUAAGAAGCAUGAGGCAGGCAAGAAGAGAGCUGCUGAAAGUUCCGUGCUGAAAACUCCUCUAUCUGAUAAGAAAGCAAAAGUUGCCACACCGUCAGCUCAAAAGACAGGUGUGCCAUUGAACGGACUAACAAAACUGUCGUCGAAGAUUGUAUAGGUGUGACUCUGUUCAAGGAUAGUCUUGAGGUUCUAGAACAGAAGAGUAGUGGUGUGCAUCAGUGUAUCUGUUUACCGGAUAAUAGUGGUUGGUUAGGUGUGUGCAGAAAAAGUUUAGUGUUAUGGUUUGUAUGUGAUACAUAUUAACUGUGCCUUGGAAUGUUCAUGUGUUGUCCUGA